This 253-nucleotide ribosomal RNA is filed under the name uncultured bacterium. Its description in RNAcentral is "partial 16S ribosomal RNA". It matches the Rfam family "Bacterial small subunit ribosomal RNA", at positions 524 to 776 of the family's 1533-position model. The record is from RNAcentral.
UCCGGAGGGUGCGAGCGUUAAUCGGAAUUACUGGGCGUAAAGCGCACGUAGGUGGUUGGGUAAGUCGGAUGUGAAAGCCCUGGGCUUAACCUGGGAACUGCAUUCGAUACUGCCCGGCUAGAGUAUGGGAGAGGGAAGCGGAAUUUCCGGUGUAGCGGUGAAAUGCGUAGAUAUCGGAAGGAACAUCAAUGGCGAAGGGAGCUUCCUGGCCCAAUACUGACGCUCAGGUGCGAAAGCGUGGGGAUAAAACAGG